Molecule: ribosomal RNA, 497 nt
Filed under: uncultured bacterium
Lineage: Bacteria
Description: partial 16S ribosomal RNA
Rfam family: Bacterial small subunit ribosomal RNA
Source: RNAcentral
GAUGAACGCUGGCGGCGUGCCUAAUACAUGCAAGUCGAGCGAACAGACGAGGAGCUUGCUCCUCUGACGUUAUCGGCGGACGGGUGAGUAACACGUGGAUAACCUACCUAUAAGACUGGGAUAACUUCGGGAAACCGGAGCUAAUACCGGAUAAUAUAUUGAACCGCAUGGUUCAAUAGUGAAAGACGGUUUUGCUGUCACUUAUAGAUGGAUCCGCGCCGCAUUAGCUAGUUGGUAAGGUAACGGCUUACCAAGGCAACGAUGCGUAGCCGACCUGAGAGGGUGAUCGGCCACACGGGAACUGAGACACGGUCCAGACUCCUACGGGAGGCAGCAGUAGGGACUCUUCCGCAAUGGGCGAAAGCCUGACGGAGCAACGCCGCGUGAGUGAUGAAGGUCUUCGGAUCGUAAAACUCUGUUAUUAGGGAAGAACAAAUGUGUAAGUAACUAUGCACGUCUUGACGGUACCUAAUCAGAAAGCCACGGCUAACUACGUG